This 1676-nucleotide long non-coding RNA is filed under the name Marmota monax (woodchuck). Lineage: Eukaryota; Metazoa; Chordata; Mammalia; Rodentia; Sciuridae. The record is from RNAcentral.
AUGGCGCCUGGCAUUUUGCCAGAGGGAGUGGUUUGUGAAGUAACGCCAGCGAGCCAUUAAGUGUGGAGAUUCCUUAUUGGUUGACUGCUGUAUCGAGUUUAUGUUAAUUAGAUAAGCUGUGUGGAAUGUAUAAAUACCGCUCCUGUCCUACAAUAAACAGCUCCCACUCCUGUUGUAUCAAUCUACACAAGUUGCUCGUCACCCCCUGGUUAUUUUGCUGCAGCCGGACUGCAGCAGAUGGUGGCCCGUAUGGGGCCCCGGGACACUCCGGGUGUGGGGGGGGUGACGAAAAAAAAAGCUGCCCGUCCAUAGAUAGGACGGGAACAAAUCUGCUCGUCGCUAGGCAGAUAGGGCAAGAGGAAAAAUGGCCAUUUCAAGAAAAUGGAGAUUGAUGCAGUAUGUUUGUGUCUUGUUUUGUCUCAGUGUAUUGUAUUGUCUUUGUGAUGAAAAUAUGGAAGGGGUGAAAAGUAAAUUACUAAGGGAAGAAGGCACCCCACUGGAACCAAGAGCAGUUAGGGCAUGUAUUGACGGAAGCCCAGAAACUCUAGUCAGAAAGAAAAAGAAAGUUCAGAAGAAGAAGGAUUAUCAGGAAAAAAGUUGCAGCAAAAGGCUAUUACUGAAUACUUUUUGUUACCGGAGGGUGAAUCGGCACAGCAGCUGCCACGUGCGCAAGCCGGUCAUGGCGCAGCAAGGUUUUUCCAAGCGGCGGCAGCGGGCUCUUCCCGGCUCCCCCGCCCGGGGAGCAGGACGCCACUGUGAGAGCCCAAAUCCAAACCUGACCCGGAGGCACAGUCUCGCAGGCUCUUGCUCCCUGUGCCCAGUGACAGUUUGAGUCCCGGACUCUCCCCUCCCCGGGGCCAUCUGGGGCUGGCCAGGACGCUGUAGGUGGAAGACGUGGAAGACGGUCUGCGGUCUGCGUCCCUGAAGUUUGAUCAUUUACAAGGCCAGUAACUACAAUGGUUCUCCCACACCUGGAAGCUAAUGAGUAAUGAGUGCCAUUAAGGCCUAUUUCAAAUGUAAAAAACCUUGAGAUAAUGUACUAAAUUGUUCAGAAGGUUGUUUUCUUAGUGCCUGCUGGAAUACUACAGGAUUUUCUUUAGCCAUCCGGAGUUCUGCCUUCAUCCCAGUGCUGGUGAGGAUGAGGAUGGAAAAAUUUCCAGUGUUGCUGAGAACUGGACGAGACUUCAGAUCAAACUAGCUUCCUGCAGAACUUAUCUGGACUGUGAUUUAAGCUAGCUGCCUGCAGAACUUACCUGGACUGUAAUUUACCUGGACUAUGAGUUAAUCUAUUUAGACACUGCUUUACCUGGACUGAGACAACAAACUGUAAUCUACAACAAAUUGUAACUCUUUGUAUCUUUGCAAACGGUGUCAUUGCUGGUAUAAUUUUUCCAAGGGCUUCUUACAUAGAGCCAUCAAUUGGCUUGGUAUUGUGGCAUUUUGUAUCCUCCCCUUCUGCUUGUAGCAGAUUAUUUAUGGUGUUUGUGUAAAAACCACUAUGGUCGUUAUUUAAAUUAAACAAAAGGGGGAAAUGUUAGAGUCUGUAAACAAGUCUGGAUGGCGCCUGGCAUUUUGCCAGAGGGAGUGGUUUGUGAAGUAACGCCAGCGAGCCAUUAAGUGUGGAGAUUCCUUAUUGGUUGACUGCUGUAUCGAGUUUAUGUUAGAUAAGCUGUGUG